ACAGUUUCACGCGCGUAUUACGUGUGACCGUGUAACAGUUUAAGUGUUAACUUGAGAGUUUGACAACCCUGAUACUCAAUUCAUGGACUAAAUUUGAUUCGAAAUCUAAAGUGAUAUCAGAGGAUUAUGAUGCAAAGUUCCGAUUAAGAAGUCAAUUGUUCAAGACAUGAAACAAUUAGGAUAUGAGGAUUAUGUUAGGACAAAGAAGUUCUCUAGACUUGAUAUAACAUAAAAAAGCAUAGUGAUUACUAUAUAUAUACCUUCUGCAUAAUGCAGAUAGUUUAUGAUACAGAACCAAGGGAUACAAGGUAAAUAUCUGAGACACAAUUCAUGGAUCUCCAAAAGAAAUACAUGAAGGUCUAGUUGAACAUAANNNNNNNNNACAAGUUAGUUCCCCCAAACUAAGCAUAGUGGUUUUUUCUUUGAAGAGAAAUAAACUCACACACAUGAUGACACACAAGAACACGAUGAUGAUUGAUUUGGAGUGACUGAUAUAUGGAGCAGCACACCUUGCCCAUUGGAACAAUUUCAAAUUAUCCAUCUUGAUUUUAUUUGGAGAAUUACCACCAAACUCGUACUCGCAAAACUUUGUAUCAUGUCUUAGCUUGUUCAUCCCUGCACAUUUGCACGUUUGUUCUAAUUUCAGUAAGUCAUUGUUACAAACAAGUAGGAGGUAUUAUUAUAACACAAGAAACAAAGUUUGGCAAUAUAUAAUGGAUUAUUAACAAAAUUUGAAAAUGUAACUCUAAUAAAUAACAAAUAAGAGAAUGAAAACAACCUAGAUGAUUUAAUUUAUCAGACAAAUAAUAAUAAAGACAUACCGUGUUGCAGUUCUUUUUCCACAAGUUAUGUAUCUAAAACUUCUUCCACGUCCAACAAUCUUUGAUUUUUCAGAAGUGGCUGGGAUUGUGAUAGUGAAGUAUCUUGAUAUAUAUGUUCCAGUUCAUCUAAUUUUCUCUUUCUAUAAGGAUUGGUGAACACAAACACUCAAAUUGAUCAGCAAUAAAAUUAUAAACUGCUUGAGCAAGUGUUGAUUUACCAAUUCCUCCUGUUGAUUUACCAAUUCCUCCAAUUCCUCCUGUUCCAUGAAUCCCAAUCAUGCAAACUUCAUCAUUACAAGCCUCAUUCAGAAGUGAGUUCACUUUACUCACUCGAGACUCAAGUCCAACAGGGUAAUCAACAACAUGUAAAGGAGUUCGCUUCAUCACUAGUUCAACAUGGUUUGAGUUGUCUAUGUGAUUUGUGUGGUCUAAGAAUUUAUAUUGAAAUCAAAUGGUAGUCUUAACAUUAAAGUAUAAUUUUGCUAUUUGAAAUUUAUGACUACAAUUAUUAUGAU
RNAcentral lists this long non-coding RNA (1336 nucleotides) under Trifolium pratense (red clover). RNAcentral's name for it is "long non-coding RNA (TPRA_LNC008786)". The record is from RNAcentral. Lineage: Eukaryota; Viridiplantae; Streptophyta; Magnoliopsida; Fabales; Fabaceae.